Molecule: transfer RNA, 69 nt
Filed under: Synapturanus sp. QCAZ 59998
Lineage: Eukaryota; Metazoa; Chordata; Amphibia; Anura; Microhylidae
Description: tRNA-Ala
Rfam family: tRNA
About the family: Transfer RNA (tRNA) molecules are approximately 80 nucleotides in length. Their secondary structure includes four short double-helical elements and three loops (D, anti-codon, and T loops).
Source: RNAcentral
AAGGCCUUAUCUUAAUUAAAGUAUCCGGGUUGCAUUCGGGUGAUGUGGGUUAGUGUCUCACAGGUCUUA